This 142-nucleotide transfer RNA is filed under the name Armatimonadota bacterium. Its description in RNAcentral is "Armatimonadetes bacterium tRNA-OTHER". Lineage: Bacteria; Bacillati; Armatimonadota. The record is from RNAcentral.
GCGGCGUAGCUCAGCAGUUAGAGCAGGGAACAUCCCGCAAGGGAAUAUCCGACUUCGCCUUCUUAUCUGGCAACCGCCGGGUCGUCAGGAGUUGGUUAUCAUCCAAAUUCCCCGGUCGCGGGUGCGAAUCCCGCCGCCGCUG